Molecule: long non-coding RNA, 4823 nt
Filed under: Sorghum bicolor (sorghum)
Lineage: Eukaryota; Viridiplantae; Streptophyta; Magnoliopsida; Poales; Poaceae
Description: long non-coding RNA (SBIC_LNC007536)
Source: RNAcentral
AAUCCUGGAACCUGAAUGAGUAACCUCCUCACGUGCGUUUCAGAUACUGAAUAGAGUAGAGUAGGCUUUGCAUUGUUUAACUAGCAGUGCAGCACUUACAAUAAUCUUACAUUAUAGGAGUAUUACGAAACCAAACUCAUGCAUCUACCUCGUUGUUUAGUCACAACUCAUAAGAACUUGACAGAUGCCACUUGAUCGCGUCAGAAAUCGAUAGGCUUUGCAUUAUUAGUAGUAGUAAAAUCAGCGAAGUGUAGCCGACGAGAAGCGUAUUCUCCAUCUUAUUAAUUAUUCUUUUUUUAGAAAUAUAAUAUUGGAACUAGAUUUUGAGUGCAAUUUGUGUCUUACUUCACAGUUUGUAAUGACUAGUCUCAUUCUCUUGUUAGGAAAAGCUGAAGCUGGAUUUAUUUCAUCAUUAAAAAAAACUAAGAAAAUUAGUAGCAUCUGUGUACAUAUAUCCAUUUUUAUCUGUUGCUUGUAUUGGCAAUCUGUUACUUAUAUAAACAUAGAAAUACACUGAUGCAAGCAAGCACUACCGGAAACACAAAAUUUGCCGAGUGUAAACAUCUUUGCCGAGUGUAAAAACUCGGACACUCGGCAAAGGCUUAUUUUGCCGAGUGUUGCACUCGGCAAAAUGCGACACUCGGCAAACUAACCUUUUGCCGAGUGUUCGACACUCGGUAAAUAAUAACACUAGGUAAAAUAGACCUUUGCCUAGUUAACGACACUCGGCAAAAUUUUACACUCGGCAAAGCAAAAUUUUUACCGUUGGCCCCAUAACAACAGCUGACGACCGUCAACCAGCGCUUCAGGUUUGCCGAGUGUUAUAGGGUUGACACUCGGCAAAGACAUGCUUUGCCGAGUGUCAGCCCUGUGACACUCGGCAAACUAUUUUUUUUUUGAAGUUUUGACCUCCAAAAUUUUUCUUUUGUCCUCCGACAGUAACUUAAACUACAUGUUAAAAUUUGACAUGGUUUUUGAACUGUUUGCUAUAUUUAGUCAAAUUAUUUCUUUUAACGUAUUUUUUUGGAUAAUUCAAAUUUGAACUGGAAGUCACUCGAAUAAUGGAAAAAAGUAAAUGAAAAAAUGAUAUUCUUGUUAUUAAGACUAAUUUAAGGCCGUAUCCAGGAACAGACCACCAAAUUCGAACAUCUUAUUCACGGAAUAUGACCAUAAACUUACAGGCGAGUUGAUUUUAAAUUCUAUAAAAAGUAGAUAAAGUCCAAAAAUCAUAAAACUGGUCGACGUGUCAUGAUAUGAUAUGUGGAGGCUGUGAUAAAAUUUUGAUAAGGUUUCACAAAUGUUGUGAUGUAGGAUGCUUACAAACCAAGACAUCUCCACAUACGAUAUCAUGUCAUAUGUGUGUAUAUGCUAAGGUUUGUAAGCAUCGUACGUCACAACUUUCUCGUGAAACCUUAUCAAAAUUUUAUCAUAGCCUCCACAUACGAUAUCAUGAAAUGUCGACCAGUUUUUUGAUUUUUGAACUUCUUUUUCUUUUUAUAGAAUUUAAAACCAACUUGCCCGUAAGUUUGUGGUCAUAUUCCGUGAACAAGAUAUUCGAAUUUGGUGGCCUGUUCCUAGAUACGGCCUUAAAUUAGUCUCAACAACAAGAAUAUAAUUUUUCAUUUAUUUUUUUCCAUUAUUCGAGUGACUUCUAGUUCAAAUUUGAAAUAUUCAAAAAAAUCAAUUAAAUGAAAUAAAUUGACUAAAUAUAGCAAACACUUCGAAAAGCAUGCCAAAUUUUAAAAUAUAGUUUAAAUUACUGUAGGAGGACCACAGAAAAAUUUUGGAGAUCAAAACUAAAAAAAAAUAUAAUAAUUUACCAAAUGUCAAUAUAUAACAGUCGGCUAAAGUAUAUUUUUUUAAAAAAUUAACUUUGCCGAGUGCACACUGGGCAAAGCACCCACAGAGUCAAACGCACACUCACACACCUUAUCCACACACACACACGAUCACACACACCAGACUCACCCCGCCGCCGCCACACUCACCCCGCCGCCGCCGCACCAGCCACGCCGGGCCGGCCGACCAAGCCCGCGCGCCGCCUCCUUCCGAGCUAGUCACUCCGACCGGCCGCAUCCACCCGGCAUUGCUCGCCCCGACCCCGGCCAGGACCCCACCUCGCCGCCGUCGCGCCGGCGACGCCCAGCUGGCCGUCCAAGCCCGGCGCGCCGCUGCAUCCCCUGUGCCUCAUCCCGGCCGGACGCAUCCCUAGCUCCGGCGAGCGCGUGCGCGAGCUCCGUGAAGUCGAACCCGCUGCAGAGCACAAGCACAAGCAUGAGUGCGACGUCCACGGCCGGCAGGAGCAAUUUUCUGAAGGAGGUGUAGCAGGUUCGUUGGAAUUUCCUGGUGGUCUUUUUGCAGCAGGCGUGUAGUUUUGGUGGAGCAAUAGCAGAUCUGCAAAUGUGCUUGCCUUUCCUUUCUGGAGAGUAAAUAAAGUGCAGUGCGGUUAUCUUAUAGGUGUUACUAUGUACUAACACUAAAGCAUGGUCAAAGGAUUCGUGUGUAGCAGCCGACAUAAGCAUGCAGAAUAUUUAUGAAACAUACAUCUAGCACAAAGUAGAGAUUAUCCAUCAGCUUUAUUAUAUAUUGAACUUCAAUUCAAAUCCCAUGGUCAAAUGAAAGAACCUUAUGAAUAAAUCCCCUAGUAGGAGAUAGAUGGUCCUAAAACAAUAUUGUCAUAAUUUGUUCCUGGACUUCUUACUUUGGAAGCUUGCUGAAAUUUGCUGAGGCCAUGCUCAAAUCUAAUGAUUCGAGAAAGUAGGUCUGAUUGCUCAGUAUAAAAAGUGACUCUGGCUGAAUUAUGGUGAGAUGCUUGUACAAAUGCAUGGAAAGAACAGUGACUAGAAUACCUUUUUAGAACUUUAUAAUUUGCAGAACGUGAGCUGUAGAUUGCAUUUAGAAGUACAUUUCUAACUUUGCCUCUGAACUGUAGUGUGUUGCAGGGAAGUGUCAGUGAGUAUUGCUUCCACAACCGUAAAGCAGCACCAAUUAUCAUUGUGCCUGGCAAAGGUUAGUUCAGGUUCUUUACUUCGUCCCAAGCAUUUCACAAAAGUAGACCGGGUCUCAAGUAUAGUCCAUUGCUAUGGUGCUACGAAGCAUAGCAAUGCAUUUGUGAAUGCACACCCUGAAAUUAGUAUUCUGAACAAAGGGAUUUGUAGUAUUCGUAUGCCAUGUCAGUGUAGGUACAUGUUAAUAUUGAAAUAAGAUUUGGCUGAUAUCUCUGCACUCAAAUCCUUUGUGGUGGUCAUUGUUAGUGUAUACUGUGCAAGCGAAUUAUCCUUUACUUCUGUUACAAGUAAGGUUCAAUUCUGUCUUUGCAGAAGCUGGUGAACAGUCUCUUUACUAGCAAACUUUACCUUUUGCAGGCCUAGGAGAGGGUGUGGCAAAAUAUAUCAUUCCUGAUCUCCUACAGUUUCAAGAUAACUGAACAUCAGUUAAAAAAAGAUAAAUGAACACCUAUGUAGCUCACUGAUUUGUAACUUCAAACCUAGCUAGUGCAACAUUGAUGCUAUAUAUUUAUCUAGUCUAACACAUGCAACUAGUACUCAUGCAACAUUCAUGGUAUAUGUUUAUCUUGUCUCUCACAUAUGGCAAUCUCUUCUCCUAUGUGCAGAAUCAAUCAGCAGCAUCGAAUAACAUGCCUCGUCAACUUGGAGAUUCACCGGGAUCGCAUCUUGGGCCUCAUCAACUAGGACCUUCACCAUGAUGGGUUUGUGACAACUAUGAUGCUAUUGUAGUUAGCUGGACUUGUGAAAACACUUGUGCUGUAAUUUGGACAAAUACGAUGCUAUUGUGGUUGGACUUGUGGACUUGUGGUUGAUUUUGGACAAAUAUGAUGCACUCGUGAGAUAUGUGACAUAUAUUGUGGUGUUUGUGAUAUAUGUUGGCUGUUUGUGAAUCUGAUAUAUAUAUAUAUAUAUAUAUAUAUAUAUAUAUAUAUAUAUAUAUAAUGUUUGCUUGGAUGGAAAGGAAAAACAAAAAAAAAAGAUUGCUUAUGAAGAGUUUGCCGAGUGUAAUGACCAGGACACUCGGUAAACAGAAAAAGGUUUGCUGAGUGUCAGGCCUAUGUCACUCGGCAAACAUGGUCACUUUGCCUAGUGUCUCCCACCUGACACUCGGCAAACCUGGUCACUUUGCCGAGUGUCGAACGCCUGACACUCGGCAAACCUGGUCACUUUGCCGAGUGCCGAACGCCUGACACUCGGCAAACCUGGCCACUUUGCCGAGUGUUUUUUACUUGACACUCGGCAAACUGAACGCUAACGGCAGCCCAUUCCGUCACGGCAACAUUGCUUCGCCGAGUGUCGACGCGGUACUCGGUAAACUCUUCGCCGAGUGCCCGAUAAAGGACACUCGGCAAAGUAUCCUUUGCCGUUAAUUUUUUUGCCGUGCACACUUUGCCGAGUGUUACACUUGGCAAAGACUUCGCCGAGUGUUUUUUGAGCUUUGCCGAGUGCUUGUGGCACUCGGCAAAGCUACGUAUUCCAGUAGUGAAGCUGAAAUCAAAUUAACGUAUGCGUGAGUAACAGUGAGUAAUAACCAUCAUAAUUCACGCACAAUUAUAGGCGACCAUAUAUACUACGACUACAUAUUAGCAUCUAUUAUUGCCGUGGUCAGUUGACAGUUUUUUCUAAAUGCAAAGAGAUGCUUGUACUGUUAUUACGUACGUAUACGACAACAAGUUAGGCCGCCGACCUUGACAGUACUCUUGUUGUGUUGCAAGAGUCAAGCCAAAGCACCCAACCCAACUGCUGCGACCUGCGACGAUGCUAGCCGCCGACUCUGAAAACUUUAAACCAAUUGCAAUGCAAGGCGGCCUCUGA